Molecule: long non-coding RNA, 7100 nt
Organism: Pezoporus occidentalis (night parrot)
Lineage: Eukaryota; Metazoa; Chordata; Aves; Psittaciformes; Psittacidae
Exons: 2
Source: RefSeq, a predicted model, not a curated record
AGAUACUGAAAACAAUGCCCAGGAAUGCUAACAAGCAAGAAAGAGGAAGUUAUAUUCGAGCUACUUUGUGCCCUCCUCCCCUGUGAUGUUACCACUAGCAUCUUGACCAUUUUGGUUACUACUGGAGGGGAAAAAACCUCAAAUCCUUUCCUGAUCUUGGAAGGGCUCCAAAACAGAGCACAUAUUCCUUGCUUAAAAGUGACCUGUUUCAGUUUUUUUCUUAAUCCCUGCUAGAUUCUGGUUUGCCAUUAUUAAAACUCCACAGCGAAGCAUUUACUAGCUUUGUCCCUAUAUUUACAAUACCUUUUGACUGAGAUGUCUAAGAGCUUUAAACAUAUGCUUUAAGCAGUGAACGGUUGGCGCUGACAUUUGUUACAAAUCUUUUCAGAAGGCCUUGUGGAAUCGUUCUAAUCCGGGAAGAGCCACUGACUCACUGUGUGAUCUGACAGAGUGACAUAUCACUUGACCUCAGUCUCAGCAGCUGUAGAACGAGGUGCUGUCAGAUACAGUGCGUUGCGUUCUCCAUGAGAUGGCUAUGGGUGCUUUAAAACAGCAGAUGAAACGCUAUCCCAUUCUGCCAGCCCCAAGUAUGGGAGCUCUGGUAGAAGUCCAGCACUUGCAGCAGCAGCGCUUUCCCCUGCCAAAUUUCCUGACAUUGACAUUACCAGUGUUCAGACCUCAACUAGCUCCUGACCGAGGACAGCCUUAAACAAAAUGCCAUUUCCCUGCCCAUUCAGCAUGUUUACAUUUAACCUUAAGUUUCCUGCUAUUUAUUCAUGUGAAAUUUCUUCCCCACCUUAGCUGUUCUGUCUUAUAAUUGGGUAAAUCUUAAACAUUACUUAAAUAUCUGGAAAGCCACUCUAGUUUGCAUCUGGAUAGCCCCUCUCUGCAGAGAAAUCUUUGGUGGGCAUAGUACUUCUGCUGGUGCAUGUCUUUGCUGUACACUGCAGAGCAGAGGGAGAAGGGAGGCAGCUAAUGGUGGCCAGGGGGACUUGGACUCUUGUGAGCCUUGGUCUGGAGAGUGACCUGGUGAGGCAGGGGACUGAAAAUGUAGGAGGGAGAGCCCUUCUAGCUGAUGAAACUUUAAGACGGACUUAAGGCUGCUGUAAGAUAUUUUAAACCAAACUGUCCAAUAUCAACAGGAGUUUAAGGAGCAAACAGAAGGGUCCAUCCUCAGGUACAUGACAUGCCCAAGCAGCAUGAGCUAAACUGGAAAUAAGUGCACAAAAGCAAUCUCAUUCCAGGCUGUAGCACAGCUUCUGCUAGAGCUGUCUGGCACAGCCUCAGGAGCUGACGUCCUGCUUGAACUGUCAUGUCCCACUUGCAUUCCUGAGCCAUCAGACGACAGCAUGUGGAUGCGCAGGCAGCAGUCAGCAGCACAUGCCAAGCAAGUUUCGUACAAAAAUAGAAACACAAUAGAUCUUUCAAUUUUCCAGUGCGUCUUCCCCAGUCCUUACCCAUUUUACUUACAGUGAAAUGUAGAGGCAUGUGAGGUGCUGUGUCCUAGUUGCACUUGGUCUGUGCACAUCUCAGGGUGUUCUGAUCUAGUUUUAAUCCAGGCAAAACCAAGUAGUUUUGAUUUGAGUCUGGCCAAAAGUUUGAAGCAGUCAUAUUGUAAAUGGGGUGUUGGUUUGUGCCUUUUUCAUAAUUCUGCUAUUCAGAUUUUGCUCCAUCUUAUUCUCAUAUAAAUCAAACUGAAUGAACUUGAAGGUCUGAAGCAAUUACAGACCAAGGAAUCUUAAAAGUGCCAGCCCAUGGGAAGAUACACCUGCCACAUCCCUUUUCUUGGGCGUACCAGCCAUCUUACUAUUGAUCUCAUUGCUGUUAGUGACCUGGUGCCUCAGGCACAGACAGUUGCACUUGGGUGCCUGACUCCUCUAAUUUCAGCUGCUGGGGCAGCUGAAGCAUGACAGUUCAAAUCAUUCCGGGCCAGGAGUACAUAAUGUACGUCCCAUGCAUAAUGCCACUGCUACCUUUGGAUGGCUUCACCUACUCAUACAGUUUUGAAUUAGGUAUUUAGGAGUUGCUUCCAUUUCUCUGUGACAACUAGGCUAUUAUAACUGGACAGUUCUUUAAAAAUAAAAAUGAAUUUCCACUACAACCUUUAAUUUAAGGUGCCACGAACAUAAAAAUAAACAAGUUACAUUCUGUUUCUGAUUUUCAGACACUUGUACAUGAAUUGCCAAUAUACCAAGAGCAGUUAAGACCUACAGAAUAUUUUUGUUAUUUUUAUUUCAUAAUUUCAUGCUGGUUUUCUAACACGGCUUUGAAUUACCACUGUGACUUCCUGUAUUUCUGUGAAGAAGAAGAAAGAAAUGUUCUCCAUCCCAGGGAUAUGUGAUGCCAUACUUGCUUUUUUUUUUUUCCUUUUGUUCUUGAUUUUCUAGAGGGGAUGUCUCAUGAAAAAAAGAGUCAAAGAUGAUAACAGUUCUAGGCAAAACUCUUGCAUCAUUUAGUCUAGGUUUCUGAAUUGGGUAAUACAGCUUUCUAUGUAUUUACACUUGACUUUCAAUUAAAUCUUGGAUGUUUGCAGCAACGUCAUCUCAGCAGUCAGGGAGACUUCGUGAAGCUGUUUCCUUCAUUUAGUAGCCUACCAUAAGAUUUAAAAUUUGAUAUAUAAAUUUUGCGUUUUUAUUUUUCCCUGGCAGCUUCUAAUCAAUAUAAAAAUGUGAAAAUACCCUUUCCUUUAAUUGUUAAUGUGUUUGAUUGUGUAUAAAUUGUAUUUUUAUGUGCUAAUCCCAGAUAAAAGUGUAGGAAACAGCAUGUAUGUUAUCUCUGGAAUGGGCAGAGUCUUUAUAGAAUGAUAUUACUUCUGUAGACUUUUUAAGGGGCUCUGUUCUGGUGGUAUUCAGCAAUAUGAUUUCUGCUUCCAUUAUUUUUUUCCCUGUAUGUCUUCCCUUUAAAGUAAACCAAACCAAAUUAUGUAGGACCACUAGGAAAUUCUUUGAGAGGAAGGCUGCAAUAUGCAUCUGUACCAGUCAAACAACUUUCUAAUUCCCAGUUUAUUUCCUGAAGACACCUAGAUAGGGCUGAGCUGCUGGGUGUCUGAACUUCUUCCUGCUCUCAGUAUUUUAUCUGUUAUCUCAAACACUGUUCAGAAGACCCUAUACUGUAUAAAAGAGCAUACAGAAAUUGUGACCAGCCACACAGUGAGUAUAUUAAAGGUUCAUCCUCCCUCCUGCAAAACAUAUUUAAGGUUGUUUAAUAUUAUAAUAUUUGAAAAAAAAAAAAAGUCCAGAAAUGGGCUUUUUUCCCCUUUUUUCAUAACUGAGAAGAGCAUUCCCAUUCAGGGAGUGGGUAGUUCAGAACACUCUAGUGUUUCAGACCCUCUGAUUUUGAAGCUGGGGACUAACUCAGUAGUGCUUGCACAUUUUGAGUGGGAGGGAAAAUGUAAAGUGUACUUGAAAACACUUGUGUGCUAGACACCACCAUCAGGGAUCAGACCCCAAAGGGCAGGUUUACACUCCACUUUCCACCUUUGUGUUUGUCUUACUGAGUGUCUAAUCAGCUAAGCCAAACUUCCUUUACUCUAAGGAGGAUUCUUUGGGCCAUUUCAUGAUGUAUUUAUUAGUGCAAACUAUCUGUUCAGCUUCAACAGGAUUUUUUAAUAACAACUUUCUUAACGUUGUUCUGCUUUUGCAUGUCUUUUUAUGAUCUUCUGCAUUUUUGUCCCCCUUUACCUUUAGCUUUUCUGCUGAAAACUUUUACAACAAUAGUGAUCAUCUAUUUACAUGGGCUUUGCUUUUUCUUAAGAAUAGAUCUUUGUGUUUCAGUAAGAUCUGUGGAUCUAUUUUGAAAUAUCUGUUGUGAAAAAGACAACAUUUUCAUUUGAAAGGCAGCAUAAUAUUCUGGUUUGUCUCAUCACUUACUCUGCCUUUUAAUUGCUGUAAUUUUUUUCUCCCUGCAGGAGGUUUAAACAUCCAUGCACUGAAUAGAGAAAUAGCACAUUAAUUUCACAGUGACUUUACACAGUGAAGGCUGUUAUUUGUAAAAUGCAAACAUCCCAGAAGUCUUUAACAACUAGUUGUAGCUGCUGCACCUUGAACUUGGUGACAGGACUUCCCCAGAGCCUACUUGGACUGCCUUCCUCUGGCUCAGAGAGAAGGUUGGUUUCCUCAUGUUACUUCAUAGCUGCUGAAGUGCUACCUUCCUUUUCUAAUUUUCCUUUUUGACGUAUUUCCAAUAUCUGUAGGUAUUUACGUACAAACAGGUAUCCUCAUGUAUGACUUCCACUGCCUCUUUACUGAAGGCUAGCUGAGAAAAUCUCUGGCACCAUCCUUUGCCUUCUGCAUUGUGAAAAUGCAAGGGAUUUCAACAGCUUGGCUGCCUGAACUGGGGAGUGCUGAGAAGCUCUAUGCAGAAUGCUCUGUGAAGACAAAUCUUAAACCAAUGGCAGUAUUAGAAUUAAGAAAAUUAAUAAGGCAAAUUAAUAAUUAUAAGAUGUGAUACAUCUUAAAUACAGAUGUAAUAGAUGCUCUGAUCUCUGAUUUACAUGCAUGAAAACAGAGGCAGAAACUGUGCCUGUGUGCAUCCUUAAGUGCCGUAGCAGAGAUGCAAGUAGAGCACAGCCUUUCUUAGCAUCCUACGUACCGGUCCCCACAGUCUCUGAAGUGAAAGAGUUCUUUUAAUAACAGGACACUGAAACAAACACAAAAUGUUAAAGUUGUAUACUAAGUAUUUCUCUUGUGAGCUGCAACUGUAUCCAUUUGAAAUUAUGAGCAAGAAGAGAUUUGGCCUGUGAUGCUUGUUCCUGAGAUGACUGAGCUCUUAAUGCUGUAUAACUCUGCUUUUGGGUCCAGCCUUUUUAAAAUGCACCCUUACAGCCCAUGGAGUGAGACCAUAGCCCCACAGGCUCCCUGGUUACUGUGUGCCAAAGGCUGUGGAAGGUAACUCAUAGCAUUUUAGUGACAUGCUGACAUUCGUAUUGACCAAAUUCAUCCUCACACAUCAAUGUUCAAGGGAGAAAGGAGGUUUUUCUGGCCACAGGGAGCAAACAGACUUUCAAUAUGGCUUAUGUGUGAUUUUUUUUGCAUGGCCUGGGAAACUCACUCACUGAACUUUCAAUCUGAGUUAAUGUUUUAAAUGUAGUAUUACCAAACACAUUUGUUUGGUAAUUUAAAAUGCCAUCUAUUUUUCACUUGAGUAGCUCUUACUCCAAAGUAGCAUGAAGAAGGCUGGUUUUGAGAAGAAGGCCUAGAACUGGCCAAGAGGAGGGAAAUGCCAUGUUUGAAGCAGAAGCCUGUGAGAUAGCAUUCUGCAUAAACCUGCCAGUCUGGUUUCAAGAUGUGUAUCAUGGGGCAGUUUUGCUAUCCCCAGCACCACUACUGAUGCUUGUCCUGGAGAAAGAGAAUCCAUUAUGAUCUGUCCUGGCCAAAUAUCUACAGUCCUUUUCUGGAUUUAGUGAAAAAUCCGCCUUACCAGCCAACCUUCAAGUGUAUCUCUGCAAAAGGGCGUAAAACCCAGCAGGACUCCCUUAUCACAUGGCAUUAACUGACAUGACACUGACAUUUUAGAUAUGUGUGACUUCUUGCCUCCAACCCCCAUGCUGAGAUCUCAUGUUCCUUUUUUCCACAGGGUCAUGUUGUACACAGAGUCCCCACUGUGGCUUUGCACUGCUGGGUCAAGGGAAACAUGAGAUAACAAUUUUUACCCUUUCCUAGUAAUGGUUAAAUUUGGAGAAGGAAAAACAAAAGGUGUUUGUGGAUAUCAUCUUUGAGAUUGGUUUUAUAAAUCAGUGCAAAAUGGAAAGAUGGACCCUUUCCAGGGCUUUUGACCUCCUGUACCUUUAAGAGAGGGGUAGUGGGAUGGCAUCUAACAGGCUCUGUAGCUGUCACAGAUUUUAACUGUUUUCUUCUGAAUAGCAAGUGUGUGAUUCAAAGAGGGCCUGGCAAAAGCUUGGUGUAUUUUUGCAGUAGCAGCACUGGAAAUGCUUAAUGGAUGUAUGAGAUCCAGCAUCCAUGUAGACUGUUGUUGUUUUCUGCAACUUUCUGUAAGUUUGGGGAAAACUUAAUAAGUACUGUUUCUCUUUCUUUCUUUAAAAGAGACAGGGGGAGAAAGCCUGCAUUUUCUGCCAUUUCCCGAGAGGCUUUUUAUCUGUUUAAACCAACUAGGGAUUUUUCACAUAUUGACAUAAGCAUUCAUUUGCUAAUUUGCUGGACAUUAAACUGCACAGCAUUCUUGAAUGAGACUGAAAUACUUGGGUACUUAGUGCUGCGCAGAGCCCACAUCAUUCCCAGUACACAUAUGGUUUUCCUCCUCUAUCUCCUAGAUAAAAGUCACUGUUUGAUCGCCUUAAGGAAAAGAAUGAGUUAAAUGGACCAAUAUUCUAGCCUUGGCUCUAAAACUGGGCCUUUUCAGAAACUCCUCAGCACCUGCAGCAGCUAGGUCAUUUGCACAUACAUAAAUAAAUAAAUUAACAAUGAAUAAAUAAUUUAAUCCCACCACACAAUGCCACCUUGCAGAUCUGAUCCUUUGCUCCCAGUGAAUUUGUCCAUUCCUAAUUCUUUUUGAUAAAGUCCUCAGAUACUUGCUGACUGUCAGUCUAAUUUUCUUAUUGUUUUCGCUUGAUUAGUUCUGUAUGACCUAAGGUCGCCCUUAAAAUCCACAUCUCUCGUGAAGACUCCGAAAGGCCUUCUUUUUUUUCAAAGGGAUGGAAAGUGCCUGCCAUUUCUCCGGACAAAAGCCUGGAAGGUUUUCAGUUAUUAGCCUCCCAAAGCACCCCUUUCGCUCACCCAAGCGCAAAAAAAACUCAUUAGGGGGCACCUUUCUUUCUGGCUUCUUUAUCUGACGCAUGUAGGGUUUACGUGUUUCAAGAUUUGCACGUCUUGGAUGAAUUUGGACAGCCUCCCUUUUAACCCUGCCGGCCCGUGGUUAUGCCCACCACAGACAUUCACCGUAGCUCCAUGCCCUUAACCACCUGGAGAUGCUCCGUCUUCUUAAAAGCUGCUUUACACCCUGCUCUGUGGUGAACAGAAGACACUUCAGCAUGCUGCUGCACUUUAAAGCCAUGCUCCCGUGGGGUGCAGUGGAAAGUCAGGCAAGGCUGCCAGCUGCCAACAAGCUCCACAUUUUGAGCUCUGUGAUUAAAAUACAAAAUCAAA